RNAcentral lists this ribosomal RNA (241 nucleotides) under uncultured bacterium. RNAcentral's name for it is "partial 16S ribosomal RNA". It matches the Rfam family "Bacterial small subunit ribosomal RNA", at positions 524 to 765 of the family's 1533-position model. The record is from RNAcentral.
UACGAAGGGAGCUAGCGUUGUUCGGAAUCACUGGGCGUAAAGCGCACGUAGGCGGACGUGUCAGUCAGGGGUGAAAUCCCGGAGCUCAACUUCGGAACUGCCUUUGAUACAGCACGUCUUGAGUCCGGAAGAGGUGGGUGGAAUUCCUAGUGUAGAGGUGAAAUUCGUAGAUAUUAGGAAGAACACCGGUGGCGAAGGCGGCCCACUGGUCCGGUACUGACGCUGAGGUGCGAAGCGUGGG